This 2174-nucleotide long non-coding RNA is filed under the name Helianthus annuus (common sunflower). RNAcentral's name for it is "hypothetical non coding rna". Lineage: Eukaryota; Viridiplantae; Streptophyta; Magnoliopsida; Asterales; Asteraceae. The record is from RNAcentral.
UGAACGCGGGAGUAUGGCGAGAGUUCAUCCCUUUCGACAUACAGCUUACUCACCAGUCACCCCCAGUGAUAGUGAUUGCACCGGUGAUCUCUGCUCCCAAAACUAUCUUCACUCGAUUUCAAUUCACAUGGUUGAUUUCAGAUAGCAUUUGCGGUGAUUCAACUACUCGGAUAUGAAUUUGAUUCCUCAUUUCCAAGCAAGCUAGUUUGUUGAAUUUUGAGGAUGUCAAGUUAUGAAGUUCAUCACUAGCCCACAUGGGAAAAAUGAAUAAGUUGGUGAUUAUGCAGACAGCAACACCCAUACCAAUUGCAAUUAGACGUAGGCGGGCUACAUCCAGUAUUUUAUCCGCACGCACACCAGAUACUGCUACUAGAUUGAAAGUGAGUAUGAAUAUCAUGAUCCCAUAAUCCCAUCUCCUCUUUAUGCUUGGAAUCAUUCGACAAUAUGUUGCCACAGCACCUGUAGAUUAUAUAUUAUUCUUUAUUAACAUUCUUGAUCAUAGUUAUAUACUUAUCUGUAACGAACCUUUUCGAUAUAUUAUACACUGUGUUUAAUCUAUUAUUACCUAAAACAAAAACCGACAUUCCAGAAACUGUUGUGUAACCGAUCUUUCCAAAAUCUUCUGCUAAAAAUGCUACCAAACACCCCAGUGCACCUCCGAGUAUGGUUCCAAUUACACGAAGUAACCCUUUGCUUAAUGUAGCACCUGUCGUUUAUCAUCAUAUAGUGUGUACUUGUAAGAGUUUAAAAGUUGAUCACUUCACAUGCUACUAAAGUUACAAAAUAAAUAAAGUUAAAUGUGUUAGAACUGAUGACAAACCUGCAAAGAAGUCGUAGAUAAGCACAACAGUCAUGAUAGCCCACAUGGAACUUUCACCAACGUGAUUGAAAAGUGGAUCAAGGAGAUACAGAAGUGAAACCAAAAUCAAAGCAGUUCCAACCUUGAUACUAUGAAUAACUUUUUUUUCAUGCUGUUCAAGAUAUUUGGCUAUAGAAUACCAAACAUUAGAAACAAAAAAGAGUUUGUUUUGCUUCUCGUGAUUGCGAGAAGCUUCAUUUUCGUUAGAAAUAUCUAUUGUGGUGCUCAUAUUUUGCUCACUCUUCUCUUUGGGUCGAGUCGCACUUCUUUAUAUAGGAAUUGGUGGACAUACACAAAUAAAAGGUAACAAUGAAGUCUGGAAAAGCGCAAGUGCCAAGUGGACAUUUGUCUCCUAACCGAAGAUGAACAAAGCAAGAAGUCCGAGGACAUGGAGUCUGACUGAGUACCUAAUGCAUAUGAUCUCAUAAAGAAGAAACCAAAUACUCGAGUGUUCGGUAAAGUGCAAUGACAGGUACAACCUAUAAGCCUUUCAUUUCAAUUCAUGGCUAUGCAUCAACUAAGAACUGAUCCGAAUGGGGUCCCCUGAUGACGACGAUGUUUGGCUAUUUCAGAACAAGGUUUAGGAGACAAUGCUAGAAAAUAGAGAUGACAAUUGGGCGAGUUGGGUAUCGUGUUAAAACGAGUGAUUUUAAAAAGUAGUCAAAUGGGUUGGGUUGGGUUGGGUUGGGUCGGGUUGAUCUAGUAAUUUUUUUUUUUUUUUAAUUCUAUAAUAACCUUUUUUUGUAAACAGAUCUAAAAUUAAUCGGUGGAUAGUAAGUUGCAGCAUCAAAAGUAUGGGUCAAAACUAUUUUUAUUUGAUCCGUGGAAUUCUAUGAUUAUAGAAUGGGUCAGCAUAUGCUAGAUUAUUUUGUAAUUGCGCAUUUUUUGUAACCUCAUUUGGUACUCUUUAAGUGUUCUAUAAAAUUUAAAGAAAACUGACAACAAAAUGUUAACAAGUCAAUACUACCUGACCCGACCCGACCUGAGCCACAUUUUAAAACACUUUUUUGUUUUAGCCUAUUUUGGCUGGUUUCAAUAAGCCAUUUCAGCCAAGUUAACAAAAACCUAUCAUAGAUUGACCCAGUUCUUGCAUAACCCGUCUCUUCUACCAAAAAAAGGUGAAUUGUUUGCACGAGUAACGAUUAACAUGUGGUAGAAAUCAAAAGAAAGAUGAUUUUUUUAUUUUUAUUUUUUUAUAGCAAUGGAGCUAUGAAAGUAUGAAAUCCAUUGACCCAAAGUUUGGUAUCUGUCUAGUGUGGGCUCAUAUUGACUACUGUGAUAGAUUCUUUGAAUCUAAAUUCAAAUAAAAAGUUGU